Molecule: ribosomal RNA, 383 nt
Filed under: Lactarius aff. gymnocarpus C329gn
Lineage: Eukaryota; Fungi; Basidiomycota; Agaricomycetes; Russulales; Russulaceae
Description: LSU rRNA
Rfam family: Bacterial large subunit ribosomal RNA
Source: RNAcentral
UUAUCCUCAUAAGUUUGACAAUAAGAGAAACCAUGUAAUAUUAAAUUAGCCAUAAUUUAAUUAAUUAUAUGGUAUAAUAAAAUCGGAGGCCACGACUGUUUACUAAAAACACAAUUCAGAGCAAUAAUUAAGAUAAUAGUAUUCUGGAUGAAAUUUGCCCAAUGCCAUUAAUAUAAGAAAGGUAAUUUUAAAGUUACUAAUUGAAAGUCUGGUUAAUAGCGGUCUUAACUAUGAGGAUCCUAAGGUAGCAAAAUAAAUUGGCCAUUAAAUGUGGUCUUGUAUCAAUAAUGUAACGAUGGUCUCACUGUCUCUACAACUUGCUCAGUGAAAUUGAAUUGCGAGUGCAGAUGCUCGCUGUCUUCAGGGGGACGGGAAGACCCUAU